UACGAAGGGGGCUAGCGUUGUUCGGAAUUACUGGGCGUAAAGCGCACGUAGGCGGACAUUUAAGUCAGGGGUGAAAUCCCGGGGCUCAACCCCGGAACGGCCUUUGAUACUGGGUGUCUUGAGUUCGGAAGAGGUGAGUGGAAUUGCGAGUGUAGAGGUGAAAUUCGUAGAUAUUCGCAAGAACACCAGUGGCGAAGGCGGCUCACUGGCCCGGUACUGACGCUGAGGUGCGAAAGCGUGGGGAGCAAACGGGG
Molecule: ribosomal RNA, 254 nt
Filed under: uncultured bacterium
Lineage: Bacteria
Description: partial 16S ribosomal RNA
Rfam family: Bacterial small subunit ribosomal RNA
Source: RNAcentral